UCAAAUAGGCCGGAGGGUAACCUCCAGCGUCUAUAUCCUCUGAUUUAAUUUACCUUUGUUGCUUUGGCGGAUCGUGGCAUCUUGCCCCGGUGGUCAGGCGCCAGCCUGCCGGCCGAGUGUCCGCCAGAGACCCAACCAAACCCUUUAACCAACGAUAUGACCAGUCUGAACAAAAACAAAUAAAGUUA
This 188-nucleotide unclassified non-coding RNA is filed under the name uncultured Ascomycota. RNAcentral's name for it is "sequence contains ITS1". Lineage: Eukaryota; Fungi; Ascomycota. The record is from RNAcentral.